This is a long non-coding RNA of Glycine soja, 1987 nucleotides long. RefSeq lists it as uncharacterized. The transcript is spliced from 2 exons. NCBI's taxonomy places the organism in Eukaryota, Viridiplantae, Streptophyta, Magnoliopsida, Fabales, Fabaceae. The record is from RefSeq and is a predicted model, not a curated record.
GAAUAUUUCAGGUGCAUGCGCAAAGACAGAAGAGCUUGAUUUUAUUGAGUGCAAACUAAGCAUGACAAACCCUAAAGUAAGUGUUGCUCCCCCUUGACAUCAUUCCACUCACCUUCUUCACCUUCCCAUCCCGAGGCAAAACCUACCAGUAUAUACAUUCUCUGCUUCUCCAUCACUUCUAUCCUCACUUCAUAUCUUCUAUCCUUCUCUUUCUCUCUAAGAAAAUUCUAGUAUUACUUUGAAUUCCUCCUACAUUUCAUUUGGUUAUAUAGUCACAUAUAUCAUUCAUUACUAAGCCAUUCCUUUUUAUUUAUUUAUUUAUUUUGGAAGCCAUGCAUGAAUAUAUGUUUUAUGUAUUCAUGGUCUAUUUAGGCAUCUCUAAACCUAGUUAAUAAGUAGCACUCAUCCUUAGAAAAGAAAGAAACCCUCCACCUGAUCGUCAUCAACGUGAGUUGUUAGUGUGGAUUACAACUACAAGUAAUGUUCAAGCUGUAUGUUGGAUAUAUAUAUCGACAAAUUACCAAAAACAAAACAAAAAACAAAAAAAUGCCUUUGUCUUUUGUCUAUUAUAUUUCCCAGUUUUUGAUCUACAUCUACCCGUGAUUUAGUAUGUGGAGAACCCACUUAUGUUUGCUAGGAAUAUAAAUCUAUUUAUGGGUUUUGUGCUUUCCACUUUAUUAGUUUUCAUUUAGGCAUGCUGCUAGCGCAUAUAUAGUUGCACCUGAAUGCAUUGAUAGUGACUCCCAUCAAGAAUUUAAAUUUGUGUGGUUAGUAUAGUGAUGUUCCUAAACAUCAACCAACCUUAUAUCACUGCCUUCUUCCUCCAGCUCCACCAUCAUGGUCGCAUUUCAUAUUCAUGCUUUACUUACAACAAGGACAUUCAAUAAUUGUGAUUAGGUGCAUAAUGGGACCAUAGGGGAUAUUGUUUAAUGUUGAAACGCCUUUUUCUUCCUUUUUGGUAGAUAGGCCAUUAGCUAGCUAGAGAGAGCCAUCCAUGAAAACAAAACCACUUGAACUUCUCAUUAACCCCCUCUAACGUAGUUCUAAAAUGGAUCUUGAAUAAGUGAGAUCAUAUCCAUAGAGGAGUAAUAUUAUUGCUCGAUCGGAUCAACUUGUGUUUUGUGCAUGUGUUUUUCAUCUUUUAUAUAAGAGAGAAUAUGAAGAUGAUGAUAAUGGUGAUAAUGUUUGGGAUAUGGGAAGCAGAGAAAGCGAUGUUGGUGAGGUUCAAUCCGAAGACGGAUUUACAUGUAGAAGCAGUAAAAUACGAUCUCAGAUUGAGCCGCGCCAAUAUCACUUUAUCAUUGAUGAGCCCCCCCAAUUGGUUGCUUUCCAACUCAUCCCAACUCAUCAGAUUCUCUUUUCAAAAUGUUUCCAAUAAUAUUGAUUAAUCUUGUCAUAACAAACAUUUCCCUCUUGGACCAAUCUUAGUUGGUGCUACCAGCAAAUCCAGAGAAGCUCAAGCUCAAGUGCAAUAUAAGAAUUGCCAUACGUGUAUACAGAUCUUUCUCAUGGAACACAGGGAAAUGAAUUGGAUUUGUAAGUGUAGCUUUAACAACUAUAAUAAAGAUAUGUAUAACACAGACUUUUGGCAGGUCCUAGAACAGUGAUUGGGUUGCCAUUGUACUAUUCAUUUCUCCCCAGUUAACGAGGAUGUUUACCUGUUUUUCACCAAGCAUGCGUCCUGUUCCAGAUUUCUAAUCUUGCUGAGGUAAAUAUUGUAUGUUGUAACCGAAAGAAUCUUGCUACCAAGUACACGGAUGAGGAGUACAGAGAUGUCUCCAUUUCUUUUACCAAAAAACAAACACCUCCAUGAUCCACUUUGUGGUGGACCCUUUGUUGAGUAUAAAUAUUGAUGAAAGAGAGUAGCUGUGGAAACAAAAACAAAAAAUAAUUAUUAAAGGGUAUGAACUUAACAACUUGAAGUUGCAAGAGCAUUGUGUUUCAAAAUCUUCUGGGACAAAGAAUAAAAGUUUGAUUGUUGCUAUCA